UGUUAGGCAUGCUCCAGUUACCCUGAACUUGUAAAACACACGAGACUAACUCUACGACCUUUUCGUCCCUGAGAAGAAGCUAAAACAAGUGACUCAUACUUUACACACAAAAAACCACCCUAAGAAAAUGUUGCUUUUCUCGUUGCUGCUGUGACCUGAAGAAGCGGUAGAAGAUGGAUGGAUGAUAUUUUGACAGAUUGAGCCUUUUUGGGAAACAUGCUGAAGUAGGCCAGUUGUCUUUAGUUAAGACAGUAAAGAGCUCAGAGGCUGAACGGUGUCAGGUUGCAGAUUAGUGUGCGAGCGGGGUCAGUGUCCUUCUGACCUGCUUCCAGUCCAGUUACACACUGAACUAGUGUGACCAGCGUCAACACAACUUAGAAAUACAAACAGGGAAAAAAAACACUCAAAUUGCUAUCCAGUGUUUAAUUUCCACUCAGGGGUAUCUCAUUCUACUUAAUGAUAUGGUGAUCCCCUGAGCCUAAUCUCACUACAAUGAAAGGUAUAAAAGCCUACUCUUGCUGUUGCUCCAAGAGCAGUAUAGCGUCUAUAGCGUAUGUGAAAGACUGAUGGAGAGCCUGCCAAGUUGCAUGAAGGUUGUAGUUAGAGAUCUGUACCGGGUUGCACCAGCCGAGAUAGUUCCACUGAGGUAGAAGGUGUAACUUAAAUCUUACACCUAGCUCCAAGUAGGUGCGUCCAUAAAAUACAGUUGUCAUGGUGAUCAGGAGGAGCUUAUUGGCUGUUUGGUGUCAGCAGUGCGUUCUACCUGAUAGAUCACAUCCUUCAUAAAUUAAAUCCAAAAGCAGAGUAAUGUUAAAUUACCUCAUGUUGUGUUGUUGUUGUUUUUUUAAAGAUUGAUUUUCCCUCUUUUAGGGCAGGGUUAGGGCUGUCCUGAAAGUUUCUAGAGUUAUUCAGGAGUGCACAUGUGUGAAAACCACUCCACAGACAUGCAGGGAAUUUGCUUAGGAAGUAGCCACCAUGCCAUCGCUGCGUUUACUCUCAACAUGAGGCGAAUAGCUCUGAGUAAUAAACAGACAAUUUACUUACCACAAGUAGGAAUGCCCACCCAACCUGACAUUUGGAGAAGUGCUUCUCCAGGAUGUUUUGAAAGCUGUAACAUUAUCCCAAACUCAGAGACGUGCAUCUGAAGUGUAACAGAAUAUCAUUCAUUUAAUAGUUUGGCAGAACAUGCAUUGGAUAUUUUAUUGAAGCAAAGAUGUCAAUAAUUAUUACAUCAUCCAGCUCGAGUGCAGACGAUUGGUUUGACUUCAGACUCCACUGAAGGGUUUGUUUUAGAAUAACUUUAUCUUGAGGAACUCAAACGUGAGUCUGUAUCUGUUGUAGAAACCUCCAUCCACAAAGCUUGGACCUGUUAUUUCCCAGAUAAAACACGUUUACCCUUCAGAAAAACACAUAAAUGUAACAAUCGUUCUUCACAAAGAAGCAGAUUUUCAUUGGAGAGAAGCUUGAGGUAAACAUAUGUAAAGGAAAUGUCAGCUGUCAGAUGGUGAAAAACCUGGAAUUCCUGGAAUGUUUUUGUUAAGGUUUGGUCUGAUUGUUGAGGAAGAUCCUGUUACUCUGUUUAGCAGGAGCAUGUCCGACAGGAAGGCCUCGUCCAGGUCCUCAUGAGAUACUCCAAACUAGUAGACUGCAUCUGGGAAGUUAGUCCUGUUUGGCC
This is a long non-coding RNA of Labrus mixtus (cuckoo wrasse), 1675 nucleotides long. RefSeq lists it as uncharacterized. The transcript has 2 exons. The record is from RefSeq and is a predicted model, not a curated record. NCBI's taxonomy places the organism in Eukaryota, Metazoa, Chordata, Actinopteri, Labriformes, Labridae.